This is a non-coding RNA of Herpailurus yagouaroundi (jaguarundi), 1301 nucleotides long. NCBI's taxonomy places the organism in Eukaryota, Metazoa, Chordata, Mammalia, Carnivora, Felidae. The record is from the annotation of a RefSeq genome assembly.
GCACCGACCAGGCCCAUGGGGCCAGCACGUGCAGCCGCAGAAACACGAGGCCCUGGGGCGGCAGAGAGCUACGCCGGGCGGCUGGUCUGCAGACUUCCUGGAGGGCCACCCCAAGCCCGGGCACCUGAUACCCUGCCCGGACCCUCCCAGGAGCGAGACCCUUGUGGUCACACGGCCUCCUCUCUUGCAGCCUCCACCACGGCCCCAUCGGUGUUCCCACUGGCCCCCAGCUGCGGGACCACAUCUGGCGCCACCGUGGCCCUGGCCUGCCUGGUGUUAGGCUACUUCCCUGAGCCGGUGACCGUGUCCUGGAACUCCGGCGCCCUGACCAGCGGUGUGCACACCUUCCCGUCCGUCCUGCAGGCCUCGGGGCUCUACUCUCUCAGCAGCAUGGUGACAGUGCCCUCCAGCAGGUGGCUCAGUGAGACCUUCACCUGCAACGUGGCCCACCCGCCCAGCAGCACCAAGGUGGACAAGACCGUGCACCCACCCUGCAAGUGUCCCAAAUGCCCAGUUCCUGAGAUUCCUGGAGCACCGUCCGUCUUCAUCUUCCCCCCAAAACCCAAGGACACCCUCUCGAUUUCCCGGACGCCCGAGGUCACGUGCUUGGUGGUGGACUUGGGCCCAGAUGACUCCAAUGUCCAGAUCACAUGGUUUGUGGAUAACACCGAGAUGCACACAGCCAAGACGAGGCCGCGUGAGGAGCAGUUCAACAGCACCUACCGUGUGGUCAGUGUUCUCCCCAUCCUGCACCAGGACUGGCUCAAGGGGAAGGAGUUCAAGUGCAAGGUCAACAGCAAAUCCCUCCCCUCCCCCAUCGAGAGGACCAUCUCCAAGGACAAAGGACAGCCCCACGAGCCCCAGGUGUACGUCCUGCCUCCAGCCCAGGAGGAGCUCAGCAGGAACAAAGUCAGUGUGACCUGCCUGAUCGAAGACUUCUACCCGCCUGACAUUGCCGUCGAGUGGGAGAUCACCGGACAGCCGGAGCCAGAGAACAACUACCGGACGACCCCGCCCCAGCUGGACAGCGACGGGACCUACUUCCUGUACAGCAGGCUCUCGGUGGACAGGUCCCGCUGGCAGAGGGGAAACACCUACACCUGCUCGGUGUCACACGAAGCUCUGCACAGCCACCACACACAGAAAUCCCUCACCCAGUCUCCGGGUAAAUGAGCAGCGCGCCCGGCCCCCCCAGCAGGCCCCCGCGGGCUCUGAGCGCCCACCCCUGUGUACAUCCCCCCACCCCGGGCAGGCACCCUGCGUGAAAUAAAGCACCCAGCACUGCCCUGGGACCUGUGACA